RNAcentral lists this ribosomal RNA (301 nucleotides) under uncultured bacterium. RNAcentral's name for it is "partial 16S ribosomal RNA". It matches the Rfam family "Bacterial small subunit ribosomal RNA", at positions 509 to 808 of the family's 1533-position model. The record is from RNAcentral.
CAGUAGCCGCGGUAACACGUAGGUCCCGAGCGUUGUCCGGAUUUAUUGGGUGUAAAGCGAGCGCAGGCGGUUAGAUAAGUCUGAAGUUAAAGGCUGUGGCUUAACCAUAGUACGCUUUGGAAACUGUUUAACUUGAGUGCAGAAGGGGAGAGUGGAAUUCCAUGUGUAGCGGUGAAAUACGUAGAUAUAUGGAGGAACACCGGUGGCGAAAGCGGCUCUCUGGUCUGUAACUGACGCUGAGGCUCGAAAGCGUGGGGAGCGAACAGGAUUAGAUACCCCCGUAGUCCCUGUCUCUUAUACA